CUGGUCUGUAAUUUUCUUUUAAAAAAAUCGGUAGCACUUUACAUUACAGCUUGGUAAUUGUAUGGUAAUAGUGUGGAAAUAUCAUGGUAAUACACAAGAAAUA
Melanotaenia boesemani (Boeseman's rainbowfish) is the source of this 103-nucleotide long non-coding RNA. RefSeq lists it as uncharacterized. The record is from RefSeq and is a predicted model, not a curated record. The transcript is spliced from 3 exons. NCBI's taxonomy places the organism in Eukaryota, Metazoa, Chordata, Actinopteri, Atheriniformes, Melanotaeniidae.